RNAcentral lists this ribosomal RNA (486 nucleotides) under uncultured bacterium. RNAcentral's name for it is "partial 16S ribosomal RNA". It matches the Rfam family "Bacterial small subunit ribosomal RNA", at positions 30 to 507 of the family's 1533-position model. The record is from RNAcentral.
AUUGAACGCUGGCGGCAUGCCUUACACAUGCAAGUCGAACGGCAGCACGGGUGCUUGCACCUGGUGGCGAGUGGCGAACGGGUGAGUAAUACAUCGGAACAUGUCCUGUAGUGGGGGAUAGCCCGGCGAAAGCCGGAUUAAUACCGCAUACGAUCUACGGAUGAAAGCGGGGGACCUUCGGGCCUCGCGCUAUAGGGUUGGCCGAUGGCUGAUUAGCUAGUUGGUGGGGUAAAGGCCUACCAAGGCGACGAUCAGUAGCUGGUCUGAGAGGACGACCAGCCACACUGGGACUGAGACACGGCCCAGACUCCUACGGGAGGCAGCAGUGGGGAAUUUUGGACAAUGGGCGAAAGCCUGAUCCAGCAAUGCCGCGUGUGUGAAGAAGGCCUUCGGGUUGUAGAGCACUUUUGUCCGGAAAGAAAUCCUUGGCCCUAAUACGGUCGGGGGAUGACGGUACCGGAAGAAUAAGCACCGGCUAACUACGUG